GUCGCAGAAUUCGGUGUAACAACGGGACUCACUGCUCGAAGAUGUGACGUUCGGCUCAGCUGCACUUGGAGGUUAUGAUGCAUCACUCGAUUUUUACGGAUGAUUCAAAGCCAGAAGUCAAACGCUGCACAACUUGCUGCACACUUUUCCACUGCCCCCUAUGCCCAACUUUCAAACCAACCAUCAACACGAAGCUUCAGUGCCACCUGGAAUCCCACAUAAAACAUUCCAUUACAUUUAAAGACAAAAAGAUAUGCAGGUGCAACCUCAGCUGCAGGGAUGGGGGACAUUAUCAUUGCCCCCUUUGUGGCAAAACGAUCAUCAGGAAGUCGGUUAUGGAUCUACACCUGAAGUCCUGCACAAACACGCAAGACAGUCCCUCCACCUCCGCUGCCGUCCAUACAUCCAACCAAAACCCCAUCACAGUCAAGACAGCCACCACCUCUCCAGCUCCGACUGCUCCUUCUCCCCAAGCUUCAACUGUUGUGUCUUCCUCUGCCGUCUCUGCUGCCCAGAGUAAAAGGGCCACUUUACAACAUUGUGGCUGGAGUUGCCUGGCUGCGUAAGCAUGCAGGUUUGCUCAAGGGGAAGGUGGUCGAGCCUGCAUUUCCGAACAUGGACGCAAAAGAACAGCAGGAGCUCAUGGAAAGGAUACGUUCUUCAAGUGAUGAAGAAGAAAACUACCCCCUGCUCUUCACAUUUGACUUUCAGGAAGACAUGGAGGUCUUCCUUAACAUGGCAGCUGAGGAGGAUCUUCGGGUCAACGCCAUGUUUCUGGGUCGCUGGGUGGACAGCCAGUGACAUUGCUGUGUGUGUGUGUGUGUGUGUGUGUGUGUGUGUGUGUGUGUG
Gadus morhua (Atlantic cod) is the source of this 849-nucleotide long non-coding RNA. RefSeq lists it as uncharacterized. The record is from RefSeq and is a predicted model, not a curated record. The transcript is spliced from 4 exons. Lineage: Eukaryota; Metazoa; Chordata; Actinopteri; Gadiformes; Gadidae.